CCUGUGAUAGCAGUGACUCUGGGCUC
This 26-nucleotide non-coding RNA is filed under the name Cricetulus griseus (Chinese hamster). Lineage: Eukaryota; Metazoa; Chordata; Mammalia; Rodentia; Cricetidae. The record is from RNAcentral.